UGGCCAAAGAUUUAUCGGUACAGGAUGGGCUCGCGUCUGAUUAGCUAGUUGGUGAGGUAACGGCUCACCAAGGCGACGAUCAGUAGCCGACCUGAGAGGGUGAACGGCCACACUGGAACUGAGACACGGUCCAGACUCCUACGGGAGGCAGCAGUGGGGAAUAUUGCACAAUGGGCGCAAGCCUGAUGCAGCAACGCCGCGUGAGUGAUGAAGGCCUUCGGGUCGUAAAACUCUGUCCUAAGGGAAGAAGAAGUGACGGUACCUUAGGAGGAAGCCCCGGCUAACUACGUGCCAGCAGCCGCGGUAAUACGUAGGGGGCAAGCGUUAUCCGGAAUUACUGGGCGUAAAGGGUGCGUAGGCGGAUUGAUAAGUCAGUGGUGAAAGCCUGCAGCUUAACUGCAGAACUGCCAUUGAUACUGCCAGUCUGGAGUAUGGUUGAGGUAGCUGGAAUGUGUCAUGUAGCGGUGAAAUGCUUAGAGAUGACACAGAACACCGACGGCGAAGGCAGGUUACCAACCCAUUACUGACGCUGAGGCACGAAAGCGUGGGGAUCAAACAGGAUUAGAUACCCUGGUAGUCCACACUGUAAACGAUGAUAACUAGCUGUCGGCGAUACACAGUCGGUGGCCAAGCGAAAGCAAUAAGCACUCCGCCUGGGGAGUACGGUCGCAAGACUGAAACUCAAAGGAAUUGACGGGGGCCCGCACAAGCGGAGGAGCAUGUGGUUUAAUUCGAUGAUACGCGAGGAACCUUACCUGGGCUCGAACGUAUAGGGAAUAUGUCAGAGAUGGAUUAGUCCUUCGGGACAUGUAUCGAGGUGCUGCAUGGUUGUCGUCAGCUCGUGCCGUGAGGUGUCGGCUUAAGUGCCAUAACGAGCGCAACCCUUGUCGUUAGUUACCAUCAAGUAAUGUUGGGGACUCUAGCGAGACUGCCACCGUAAGGUGUGAGGAAGGGGGGGAUGACGUCAAAUCAGCACGGCCCUUACGUCCGGGGCGACACACGUGUUACAAUGGUAGGUACAGAGGGCAGCUACCCAGCGAUGGGAUGCGAAUCUCAAAAACCUAUCUCAGUUCGGAUUGUAGGCUGCAACUCGCCUACAUGAAGUUGGAUUCGCUAGUAAUCGCGCAUCAGCCAUGGCGCGGUGAAUACGUUCCCGGGCCUUG
This 1163-nucleotide ribosomal RNA is filed under the name uncultured bacterium. Its description in RNAcentral is "bacterial SSU rRNA". It matches the Rfam family "Bacterial small subunit ribosomal RNA", at positions 198 to 1383 of the family's 1533-position model. The record is from RNAcentral.